UCUCCGUUGGUGAACCAGCGGAGGGAUCAUUACAGGACUCGCAAGACUCCUACAACCCUGUGAACUUAACUAUAAGCACGUUGCUUCGGCGGGUGUCUCGGAGGGGGUUCUCCCUCCCCGAGACGCUAAACCCGCCGGCAGCCUACUAUACUCUGUCUCUUGCGUUGGCAUCUCGAGUACAAUCAAACAAGUUAAAACUUUCAACAACGGAUCUCUUGGUUCUG
Molecule: unclassified non-coding RNA, 224 nt
Filed under: plant metagenome
Description: partial contains small subunit ribosomal RNA, internal transcribed spacer 1, and 5.8S ribosomal RNA
Source: RNAcentral